This 461-nucleotide ribosomal RNA is filed under the name uncultured bacterium. RNAcentral's name for it is "bacterial SSU rRNA". It matches the Rfam family "Bacterial small subunit ribosomal RNA", at positions 29 to 507 of the family's 1533-position model. The record is from RNAcentral.
AAUGCACGUUGGCGGCGUGGAUUAGGCAUGCAAGUCGAGCGCUCAUAGCAAUAUGGGAGCGGCGAACGGCGUAGUAAUAUGUAGGAACGUACCCUCGGGUCGGGGAUAGCCAUGGGAAACUGUGGGUAAUACCCGAUAAUCUCUGCGGAGCAAAGGUGUGAUUCCGCCUGAGGAGCGGCCUACACGAUAUUAGCUAGUUGGUAGGGUAAUGGCCUACCAAGGCUACGAUGUCUAGGGGGUGUGAGAGCAUGGCCCCCACGACCGGAACUGAGAUACCGUCCGGACACCUACGGGUGGCUGCAGUCGAGAAUCUUCCGCAAUGGACGAAAGUCUGACGGAGCGACGCCGCGUGCGGGAUGAAGGCCCUUGGGUUGUAAACCGCUGUCAGAGGGGAGUGAAAUCUUCGGAGGUGCUCCUCCAAAGUUGACAGAGCCUCAAAGGAAGCACGGGCUAAGUACGUG